GACGAACGCUGGCGGCGUGCUUAAUACAUGCAAGUCGAACGGAAAGGCCCUGCUUUUGCUUGGUGCUCGAUUGGCUAACGGGUGAGUAACACGUGAGUAACCUUCCCUUGACUUUGGGAUAACUUCAGGAAACUGGGGCUAAUACCGGCUAUGGCUCCUUCUUCUUGGUUGUUGUUUGAAAGUUUCUGCGGUUGUGGAUGUACUCGCGUCUUAUCAGCUUGUUGGUGGUGUUGUGGCUUACCAAGGCUUUGAAGGGUAGCCGGCCCGAGAGGGUGACCGGCCACAUUGGGACUGAGAGACGGAGCAGACUACUACGGGAGGCAGAAGUGGGGAAUAUUGCACAAUGGGCGGAAGACUGAUGAAGCAACGGCGCGUGAGGGAUGAGGGCCUUCGGGAUGUAAAGCGCUUUAGCGUGUGACGAAGAGUGAGUGAGGGUAAUGGGAAAAGAAGAAGGGGAUAACUACG
This 465-nucleotide ribosomal RNA is filed under the name uncultured bacterium. Its description in RNAcentral is "partial 16S ribosomal RNA". It matches the Rfam family "Bacterial small subunit ribosomal RNA", at positions 28 to 505 of the family's 1533-position model. The record is from RNAcentral.